RNAcentral lists this transfer RNA (76 nucleotides) under Candidatus Nealsoniibacteriota bacterium. RNAcentral describes it as "Candidatus Nealsonbacteria bacterium tRNA-Pro". It matches the Rfam family "tRNA". From Rfam's summary of the family: Transfer RNA (tRNA) molecules are approximately 80 nucleotides in length. The record is from RNAcentral. Lineage: Bacteria; Candidatus Nealsoniibacteriota.
CGGGGUGUAGCGUAAUGGUUAACGCGCCUCGUUCGGGACGAGGAGACUCCCGGUUCGAGUCCGGGCACCCCGACUA